AGAUGGUUAAACUAGAGUAGGGGAUAAGUAAAUCCUUAAUAAGUAAAUGCAACUUUAUGAGGCAAUUUGAGUAAUUAAUGAUGGUUUUAUUAACAUAAAGUAAAAGCGACGUUGUCAACUAUAAUGGUUUUUUUUUUUUUUUAACCAAAAGUUAAGUGAUUCGAAUAGAUGAAACUACUCAAGGUGGUAAUUAUUGCAACAGACAAACAAUGAAGAAAUUAUAUAAUAAUGAUUUUGAAAAAUCUCAUUUCACAUUAAAAAAAAACAAUAAUGUCAACCAAAAAAAUUUGCAAAACUAAAAUAAACCAUAAUCAAAACUAGCUAUAAUACUUAAUACAUUUAAUAACCAAAUUUACAUCACUUUGACAAUUAAUAUUGCUAGGCGCUGGCGCCUUCUCAACGGCUAUCUGAAAGUGAGAGAGCCAAGCAAGCGAUGUCGACGACAAGAUUUCUCUUCACUAACGGCGUCCUUUCGCCGGCUUCCGAUACUCUUUCAAUCUCCACCUUCCUUCAAACUCACCCAGGUGCAUACACCACAACUCGAACACACAACAAUGGCGAACUUCUCCUCUUCUAUGACCGCCACCUCAAGCGCCUCUCCACUUCCCUCCAAAUUCUGCUCAUUUCAAACCCACAUCUGGUAUUCGGCCCCCAAUUUUCUACUUUCUGUGGCUUCCCGUCGUCCGUCAACUGGAACGCUUAUGUUCAUCGCCGUGUUAAUGAUGUGAUGAAGAUCGCGCUGCCGGUAGCGGAUAAGGAGAGGAGUUCUGGGGAGGAGUUGGCGAUUUCGGCGUUAAUUGGGGGGAAUUUUGAUGAGUUGAGUGGAGUGAAGGGGAUAAUUGAGGAGGGAAUGAUUGAUAGGGUUUUGGAUGUGUAUUUGCAUAUUGGAAUGUAUGUGCCACCGGUGUUUGGUGUUGAGGGAAAUGGCGCGCGGUUGGCUGUGGUUCGAUGUAGGAGAGAUUUUGCUGAGGCUAAGUACUCUGAUUGGGCAAGGCUAAGGAAGCCAUUGGAAAUGUUGAGACCUCCUUCAGUUACUGAGCUUUUGAUGUCAGACAAUGGUGACAGAAUACUUGAAGGGACAAUAACAAAUUUCUUUGUAGUUCGUUUCAAGGAACAGGAAAAAGUUGAAGCUAAGGAGACUAGCUUAAUCAAUGAUGGAGGCUUGCUGUCAUACGAAGUACAGACAGCUCCGGUAAACGACGGUGUUCUUCCAGGGGUUAUCCGACAGUUAGUAAUUGAAAUAUGCUUGAGGGAGGGCAUUGCAAUUCGAGAAGUAUCACCAUCUUGGUCAGAGCGUGAUUAUUGGGAAGAAGCAUUUGUUACAAAAAACCCUGAUUUGCGAUUCAUCAAAAUUGGGAAUCACCUACCACAUGUAUUAUGACAGAGGUUGCCGAAAUGUCUAUGUAGAUGGAUGACGCCGGCAUUCCCAUCUCCAGUGGCCGUCGCCGUGUUAUUUAUCGUUAGAUCUGCCUAGUACACUUGCUUCUCUCUUUAUUUGAUAUUCUGUUUUCUUUAACCUCUCUCUGUUUGUCUCCUUCCCUCGGGGCUACGAGCAGGUGAGGAAAAAAAAUCAUGCGUUAAUACUUUUUACUUGCCCUCUGCCGAGCUUUUUAUCUCUCCUACAGUUUUUCAAUUCUUUUUCCUGAUAUUCAGUUGUAUUUUGCAAAUCCUUAUGUCUUGAUACUUAUACUUGAUUUUGGGGCUCUUUUAUUUGAAACUUUAUAUAACAUAAAAAUAUUUUAUUAAAAAAUGUAAGGGUGCACCUCUCCUACGGGAUGCGCACGCCUACGCCUUGCGCCUCCCUUCGCCUUGCGUUUUGCGCCUCAGUGCGCCUUGCACCUCUUAAAACUAAGGUAAAUACUACCUUGAUUUCUUUUUUAUCCACACAGUCUGACUUUCUCGCUUGCCAUCACAGAGCUUUGACCAUUAAUAUCUUUAAGUAUCAAUAAGAAAAAAAAUCAUAAUAUAAUGAUGUUAUGAAAAUAUAUAUUAAGAAAAACCUAACAAGAUCUCACAAGACUGUUUUUCCUUAUAUAUAAAUCACCAAUGGUGGUCAAAAGUAGAGUAUGCAAAUGUUGCUAAAGUACAAAAUGUGUGAACUAAAAAGAAACAGAGGGAGCGUAAAGUUUUACGAAUCUUUUUCUUUGAUGGUUUUUACUAGCGUGGAUUUAGUAACAUUUUGGAUGGCAAGUAGUUGCCCAUUAGAGAGUAUUUUUAUCCUAUUAGGUUGACUCAACAAUGGAAUGAGGUUAUUAUAGUGAACCUCUAAGGUUAAAGGCCAAUUUUGAGGAUGGCUAUAAGACCAAUAUUAUUUGUAUGGGUAGGAGUGUUGGGCUUUUAGGAAGGAUCAUAUUAGGGAAGUUAGGGUAGCAGAAAUGCUUAUAUUGAGAUGGAUGUGUGACAGUACAUCAAGGGCUAGAAUUCAGAAUGAAGAUACAAGAAGCUUGGAGUCAUGGAUUUUGAGGAUAAGGUAUGGGAGAACUAAUUAGGUUGGUUUUGGCAUGUGAGACAUUGAUAGCAGCAUCGUUAAGAUUGUGGAGAUUUUAAAAGAAGUUGAUAGAGGCCAAAUAUGACUUGAAUGGAGGGUGUGAAGAAUGAUAUGAAGAAAUACGGUUUUCUAGAGCAUUUAACACUUGAUAAAGGAGAAUGCUGGCAGAGGAUGUUUGUGGACGACAACUGGAGAUGAUUUAUUGGUUCAAGCCUUUGACCCUGUCCUAUUGGGAUUAGGCUUUGACAUUGUUGCUGUAUGUUCUUUAAAGAAUAACCAAAUCGGACCUUAUUACUCUUUAACUCUCCGUUUACCUUGCUGUACCCACUUUUAGAAACUGUUACUAUUCCUAAUAUGGAUAUAGAUACUUGGGCAUAGUCUGUGAAAUAUAAUUAGAGAAUUGUGAAAGAGCUUUUGAUUUUGAUAUCUCGUAUAAGUCAAGAAACUGUUCCAAUUCCUAAUAUGGAUAUAUAUACUUGGGCAUAGUCUGAAAUAUAAUUAGAAAAAUGUGAAAGAGCUUGUAUACUUGAUUUUGAUAUCUCGUAUGAGUCCAAAGCUUCUAAAGAAUAUGAACAGCAUGCACAAGUUCAUAUAUUUUCUGAUGAGGAAAGGAUCAAAUAAUUGGAAGGAAACCAGAAAGAAACAUAUGACCUAUAGAGUACACUGGUCAAUAAGCCAAAUGAUAAUAAACCAAAAUUCAGAACUCGGUUGUUUUGGUCUAAUCUAGAGAAAUAUGUCGUCAGAUCUUUAUAUGAUUACUAAAGCAUGCAGAAAUUGUCUGGACAUAGAAUUAUAGAACUCUCUAAUCCUUUUCCAUGCUCCUUUCAACUCCUUGCGAUCUGUUUUACUGUAGAUAGUUUGAGACUCCUGCAACAUGUAGAAACAAUUCAAGCUCCUUAUUCUUGGAAUUCCAUGGGAUCAAAAUCAUGGGAAGAAGUAUCUUGGUUGGAGAAGCAUUUUGAGGGGAGUCCAGGGAUGAUUACAUCAUUAAUCCAG
Molecule: RNA transcript, 3484 nt
Organism: Beta vulgaris subsp. vulgaris (sugar beet)
Lineage: Eukaryota; Viridiplantae; Streptophyta; Magnoliopsida; Caryophyllales; Amaranthaceae
Exons: 7
Source: RefSeq, a predicted model, not a curated record